Molecule: long non-coding RNA, 589 nt
Organism: Exaiptasia diaphana
Lineage: Eukaryota; Metazoa; Cnidaria; Anthozoa; Actiniaria; Aiptasiidae
Exons: 2
Source: RefSeq, a predicted model, not a curated record
CAUCUCAAUAUGGCGGACUGUGCUGUCAUUUGCGACAGAAUUGACAAGAAGACAGCUUUGGGAGUUCUCAACUCCCCAAAUCACCAUGGCAACUGUGGCUAUAUCAACAGCUAAACAAUGGGAUGACGAGACACUGGGAUUUUUUAUGGAGGAGAUCACAUGUCAUUGGAACCCUCGAUGUUUUGAGGUUCUUCAUUUGUGUUCAUUAGCAAAGGCAUUUCUUCCAAUGAAUUCAAUAGAUGUACAUAACUUUUUCUUAUGGUUAGAGGAAGAAAUUCUUGAUCGCAGUGUUUCUACUUUAUCACCAACAGAACUUGGAUAUUCUUUGUAUUUUAGUAGGACAUAAAACUACUGGUAGGAAUUUCUUUGAGGCAGUGAAGGAACAGCCAGUAACUUGCAAUCUUGAUGAUUACAACGAUGAAGAUAUUAGAAAUAUUUGCGAUUUACUUGCCAAAGCUGGAAUAGAUGUCAGGGAACUACAAUUUAAACUAAGCAAAUAGUUGAAAUGCAAAGUAAUUCACAUAUUACUUUUGUAGUAACUUAAGAAAGAUGUAUAAAUUCGUAAUAUGAUGAUUAAACUUUCUCAUAG